GAGACACGGUCCAGACACCUACGGGUGGCAGCAGUCGAGAAUUUUUCUCAAUGGGGGAAACCCUGAAGGAGCGACGCCGCGUGGAGGAUGAAGGUCUUCGGAUUGUAAACUCCUGUCAUUUGGGAACAAUUGUCACCGGUUAACUGCCGGGGGCUUGAUAGUACCAGAAGAGGAAGAGACGGCUAACUCUGUGCCAGCAGCCGCGGUAAUACAGAGGUCUCAAGCGUUGUUCGGAUUCAUUGGGCGUAAAGGGUGCGUAGGUGGCGGGGUAAGUCAGGUGUGAAAUCUCGGGGCUCAACCCCGAAACUGCACUUGAUACUGCCUUGCUCGAGUACUGGAGAGGAGAUUGGAAUUUACGGUGUAGCAGUGAAAUGCGUAGAUAUCGUAAGGAAGACCAGUGGCGAAGGCGA
This 410-nucleotide ribosomal RNA is filed under the name uncultured soil bacterium C0104. Its description in RNAcentral is "bacterial SSU rRNA". It matches the Rfam family "Bacterial small subunit ribosomal RNA", at positions 321 to 724 of the family's 1533-position model. The record is from RNAcentral.